RNAcentral lists this long non-coding RNA (965 nucleotides) under Hordeum vulgare. RNAcentral's name for it is "long non-coding RNA (HVUL_LNC007557)". Lineage: Eukaryota; Viridiplantae; Streptophyta; Magnoliopsida; Poales; Poaceae. The record is from RNAcentral.
GCUAGUAAUCGAUGGCGGCAACGAAAUUGGUAAGAUCCCACUCUCUCACUUGGCCUCUCCCUCCCCUCCCCCUCUCUUUAUGUGUGUGCAGUCCGCAGGUUUGAAAUACGCAGUAAGUUUAAUAAUAUCUUUAAAAAUGUGUGCUCCUUUAAUUCAUGGAAAUAGAGAAGCUCUUGAAGCAGUAAAGUCCUUUAUGUGCAGCAAUUAAUUAAGCUUCAUUAUUGUUUUGUAGUUUUCUAAAAAGUACUUUCAUGAACUCGUUACACAUGUUUUUUAUUUUGAUAGCAGGCUUGACAACAAGUUUUAUUUUCUGUUGUUUAUCAGUGAAUGGUUGGUGAAGUAACGAUUGAAGGAGAUAUUAAAUUGUUGUUUGUGAUAUCAAGUGGCUUUCCUACAAUAAAGGACUAUGAGCAUGUCACUGAUUUGCAAAUGCUUUCACUGCUACCUGUUAUUAAUCAUCCGAUUUCUUACUUCUUCCAUUUAUGCAGGAAUGAUGUGAAGAGAGUCCUCCCUGUUCUUAAUCAUCUGAUUUCUUACGCCUUUCAUGUAUCUAUGGAUAUAGCGAGAGAAGUUACAUGAAACACAAAAGAGGUGAGCUAAAGGUACACCUUUUCCCAUCGGUGAUAAUGAAUUCUCUUUAGUUGCUUUAGUAUGAAAUGAUAUUGGAGGCAGCUUAGAGAAAUAACCAUGUUCUCUAGUUGUCAUGCGGAAAUAUUAACCAUGGAUUUUGACUUGUAGAUUUUCAAAGUGGAGUAUGUUCUCCAAUGAGAUGUAGAAGCACGACUUUGAUUUCAAGUUCUAGACGAACACAAUAAUCUUGGUGGAAGGCUGUGAGCCUGUGUAUGUAGUUCCCCACUACAAGGAGCCAAGGCAAAUGAUGUGCCUCUUUAAGACAAAUUAUAGAAAAUAAAGCAAGAAAUUUUUGCUCUUAGGAAAUGAACCAUAAUGUUUCCUCUACUUAAUUA